Molecule: ribosomal RNA, 917 nt
Filed under: uncultured marine bacterium
Lineage: Bacteria
Description: bacterial SSU rRNA
Rfam family: Bacterial small subunit ribosomal RNA
Source: RNAcentral
AGAGUUGAUCCUGGCUCAGGAUGAACGCUAGCGGCAGGCUUCAUACAUGCAAGUCGAGGGGCAGCAUAAAUUACUUGUAAUUUGAUGGCGACCGGCGAACGGGUGCGUAACGCGUAUGCAACUUACCUUUUACUAGAGAAUAGCCAAGAGAAAUUUUGAUUAAUGCUCUAUGUUCUUAUUUACUCGCAUGAGUAAAUAAGCAAAGCUCCGGCGGUAAAAGAUGGGCAUGCGUCCUAUUAGCUUGUAGGUGAGGUAACGGCUCACCUAAGCUCCGAUAGGUAGGGGUCCUGAGAGGGAGAUCCCCCACACUGGUACUGAGACACGGACCAGACUUCUACGGAAGGCAGCAGUAAGGAAUAUUGGACAAUGGAGGCAACUCUGAUCCAGCCAUGCCGCGUGAAGGAAGACGGCCUUAUGGGUUGUAAACUUCUUUUAUACAGGAAGAAACCUUUCCACGUGUGGAAAGCUGACGGUACUGUAAGAAUAAGGAUCGGCUAACUCCGUGCCAGCAGCCGCGGUAAUACGGAGGAUCCAAGCGUUAUCCGGAAUUAUUGGGUUUAAAGGGUCCGCAGGCUGUUUGUUAAGUCAGAGGUGAAAGCCUACCGCUCAACGGUAGAACUGCCUUUGAUACUGGCAAACUUGAGUUAUUGUGAAGUAGUUAGAAUGUGUAGUGUAGCGGUGAAAUGCAUAGAUAUUACACAGAAUACCGAUUGCGAAAGCAGAUUACUAACAAUAUACUGACGCUGAGGGACGAAAGCGUGGGUAGCGAACAGGAUUAGAUACCCUGGUAGUCCACGCCGUAAACGAUGGUCACUAGCUGUUCGAUGUACAUUGGUACAUUGAGUGGCUAAGCGAAAGUGAUAAGUGACCCACCUGGGGAGUACGCUCGCAAGAGUGAAACUCAAAGGAAUUGACGG